AUAUCACAAAGGCAAAAUUGCUGAAAGGCAGUGACGCAAAGCUAAGGGUCUAAGCUCGAAGAGUAUGACAGCCGGUUGCAUAG
RNAcentral lists this non-coding RNA (83 nucleotides) under Hominimerdicola alba. RNAcentral's name for it is "Ruminococcus albus c-di-GMP sequence". It matches the Rfam family "c-di-GMP-I riboswitch aptamer". From Rfam's summary of the family: GEMM was predicted in a large-scale screen for bacterial structured RNA regulatory elements. Genes associated with GEMM are involved in a diverse array of functions, including chemotaxis regulation, signal transduction, secretion and chitin. The record is from RNAcentral. Lineage: Bacteria; Bacillati; Bacillota; Clostridia; Eubacteriales; Oscillospiraceae.